CCUACGUGGCGCAGCAGUGAGGAAUAUUGGUCAAUGGGCGAGAGCCUGAACCAGCCAAGUCGCGUGAGGGAUGACGGUCCUAUGGAUUGUAAACCUCUUUUGUCGGGGAACAAAGGCGGCCACGUGUGGACUGAUGAGUGUACCCGAAGAAACAGCACAGGCUAACUCCGGGCCAGCAGCCGCGGUAAGACGGAGGUUGCGAUCGUUAUCAGGAUUUAUUGGGUUUAAAGGGUGUGUAGGCGUACAGUCCAGUCCACGGUAAAAAUGCGGUGCUCAGGGCCGUACCGCCGUUGAAACUGGCAGUCUUGAGUGGGCGAGAAGUAUGCGGAAUGCGUGUGGUAGCGGUGAAAUGCAUUGAUAUCACGCAGAACUCCGAUUGCGAAGGCAGCAUACCGGCGCCCUACUGACGCUGAGGCACGAAAGCGUGGGUAUCGAACAGGAUUAGAUACCCGAGUAGUC
RNAcentral lists this ribosomal RNA (459 nucleotides) under uncultured bacterium. Its description in RNAcentral is "partial 16S ribosomal RNA". It matches the Rfam family "Bacterial small subunit ribosomal RNA", at positions 338 to 795 of the family's 1533-position model. The record is from RNAcentral.